GAUGAAGAACGCAGCGAAAUGCGAUACGUAAUGUGAAUUGCAAAUUCAGUGAAUCAUCGAGUCUUUGAACGCACAUUGCGCCCCCUGGUAUUCCGGGGGGCAUGCCUGUCCGAGCGUCAUUGCUGCCCUCAAGCACGGCUUGUGUGUUGGGCCCCGUCCUCCGAUCCCGGGGGACGGGCCCGAAAGGCAGCGGCGGCACCGCGUCCGGUCCUCGAGCGUAUGGGGCUUUGUCACCCGCUCUGUAGGCCCGGCCGGCGCUUGCCGAUCAACCCAAAUUUUUAUCCCGGUUGACCUCGGAUCAGGUAGGGAUACCCGCUGAACUUAAGCAUAUCAAUAAGCGGAGGA
Molecule: unclassified non-coding RNA, 345 nt
Filed under: soil metagenome
Description: partial contains 5.8S ribosomal RNA, internal transcribed spacer 2, and large subunit ribosomal RNA
Rfam family: 5.8S ribosomal RNA (bases 1-119)
Source: RNAcentral